RNAcentral lists this ribosomal RNA (403 nucleotides) under uncultured bacterium. RNAcentral describes it as "partial 16S ribosomal RNA". It matches the Rfam family "Bacterial small subunit ribosomal RNA", at positions 30 to 526 of the family's 1533-position model. The record is from RNAcentral.
AUUGAACGCUGGCGGCAGGCCUAACACAUGCAAGUCGAGCGAGCGGCGGACGGGUGAGUAAUGUAUGGGGACUGCCCGCUAGAGGGGGCUAACUACUGGAAACGGUAGCUACUACCGCAUACUAUCGGAUAACCCAUAUGGGAUUAGCUAGUAGGUGCGGUAAUGGCUCACCUAGGCGACGAUCCCUAGCUGGUCUGAGAGGAUGAUCAGCCACACUGGUACGGAGACACGGCCCAGACUCCUACGGAGGCAGCAGUGGGGAAUAUUGCACAAUGGGCGCAAGCCUGAUGCAGCCAUGCCGCGUGUAUGAAGAAGGCCCUAGGGUUGUAAAGGACUUUCAGUCGGGAGGCGUUACCGACAGAAGAAGCACCGGCUAACUCCGUGCCAGCAGCCGCGGUAAUUC